AGCGAACGCUGGCGGCAGGCCUAACACAUGCAAGUCGAACGAACUCUUCGGAGUUAGUGGCGGACGGGUGAGUAACACGUGGGAACGUGCCUUUUGGUUCGGAAUAACUCAGGGAAACUUGUGCUAAUACCGAAUGUGCCCUUCGGGGGAAAGAUUUAUCGCCAUUAGAGCGGCCCGCGUCUGAUUAGCUAGUUGGUGAGGUAACGGCUCACCAAGGCGACGAUCAGUAGCUGGUCUGAGAGAAUGACCAGCCACACUGGGACUGAGACACGGCCCAGACUCCUACGGGAAGCAGCAGUGGGGAAUCUUGCGCAAUGGGCGAAAGCCUGACGCAGCCAUGCCGCGUGAAUGAUGAAGGUCUUAGGAUUGUAAAAUUCUUUCACCGGGGACGAUAAUGACGGUACCCGGAGAAGAAGCCCCGGCUAACUUCGUG
RNAcentral lists this ribosomal RNA (433 nucleotides) under uncultured bacterium. RNAcentral describes it as "partial 16S ribosomal RNA". It matches the Rfam family "Bacterial small subunit ribosomal RNA", at positions 29 to 507 of the family's 1533-position model. The record is from RNAcentral.